Non-coding RNA from Callithrix jacchus (white-tufted-ear marmoset), 3994 nucleotides. Lineage: Eukaryota; Metazoa; Chordata; Mammalia; Primates; Cebidae. The record is from RefSeq and is a predicted model, not a curated record.
GUAGGUGACUGGGGGAUGGAUGCAGCAAACCACCAUGGCACGUGUAUACCUAUGUAACAAUCCUGCACCAUCCGCACAUGUGCCCCAGAACUUAAAGUAAAAAAAAAAAACAGAAAGAAACACUAUUUUUACUUUUACUGUCGUGAUUUUCCUGAUUAGAUGAUGGCCAUAACUGUACCCAUUUGAGAUUCCUAAUGGAAGAGACAGUAUCCUGUGGCUCCUCCUUCUCUAUCUACUUACAUCCAAUGGUCAGCUAAGUUUAGUAAUUUACCUCAGAAAUCACCUUAGGCGCCACAGUCCUAAUUCUCCAAUAAUUGCUACUUAGCUCCAAUCUUCAUAUCUCAAGCUUAGCCCAUUGUCAUGUUCUUAACUACUUCUUCUCUUCUCUCCUGACCUUUCUAGUCCAUCCUCAACACUGAGGGUGGUAUUAUCAUGCUAAUGUACACAUCUUACUCUAUCAACUUUCCUAAAAUUGUUUCUCUGUAACUCCAAUUACCUUAGCAUAGGAUUCAGGGGAUUAGUUACAGAAUCCCUGCAGAUACCAAAUCCAUGGAUGCUCAAACCCCUUAUAUAAAGUGGCACAGUAUUUGCAUAGAACCUACACACAGUCUCCUGUAUACUUAACUAAUCUCUAGAUUAUUCAUAACAUCUAAUACAACAUACAUUCUAUAUGGAAACACAGUUGUGUCCCUUCAUGACAGGGAUACAUUCUGGGAAAUGCCUCUUUAGGCAAUUUUGACCUUGUGAGGAUAUCAUAGCAUCUACUUACACAAACACUGAUGGUCUAACGUAUUACAAAACUAGGCUCUGUGGUACUGCGUAUUGAUACUAGGCUACAAACCUGUGUACUUGUUCCUGCACUGAAUACUACAGGCAAUUGUAACACAGUGAUAAGUGUUUGUGUAGCUAAACAUAUAUAAACAAAGAAAAGGUAAAGUAAAAAUAAGCUACUAUAAACUUACGGGACCACCAUUGCAUAUUUGGUCUGCUGUUAACUGGAACCUCAUAUGUGACACAUGACUAGAGUUGUUAUAUUGCAUUGUUGUGUUAUUUGUUGUUUUUUCCCUAAUAUUUUUUAUUCAAAAAAUCCAAAUGUGUGGAACCUGCAGAUAUAGAGGGCCAACUAUAUCCAUUCACCACAUGGACCCAGUAAACCUUCUAGCUUCAUCAUCAACUUACUCUUUCCUUCUCCAAAGCUCUGGCCAAAACAAUCAACUCGCAGCUCUCAUAGAGAUGCAUAAAGUUUCACAAUUGGGACUUUACACACUUUAUCUCCUCAUUAAUACAAUGCCUUUCUUCCUGCCAACUCUAAAAAACCCCUCUCAUCCCUAAAGACCAAACUCAAAAUAUCGUAGGCUUUAUGAACCAUGACCUGUCAAAUAGAAUUAAUCAUUCCCCGUUCCUGUUCCCAUGCUACUAAAUCGCUCCACAAUGGCACUAAAUAAUAGUUUCCAUAUAUAAGAUUUCCCCACUAGAUUAGACAAGGGUAGUGUUUUAUUAAUUUUUGUAUGCUUACGUCAUCAUGCAAGAUCUGACAUACAGUAUGAACUAAGCAUUCAUUGAAUGGGUUAGAAAAUAGCUUAGAGAUUAUUUAGUCCCACUUCUUUCCCAAAGUUUAAAUAUCAUUUACGAUAUCCCUGGGAGAUGUUUAUUAGUCACCACACCAACCUUAUCAAGGUCAGAUAGCGCAAUAUUAGAAAGAUGUACCAUUUCAUUAUUCAGCCUAACAUUUCAAAGGUUUUCUGUGUUAGGCUUCAAUUUUGUCUCUGAAUCUUCUCCUAUACCCUACUCCCACUAGUCCUAUUUUUAUCCUCUGAAAAAACUUAUAAUAGAACAGUUUUUUGAUAUGGCAACAUUUCAAGAUUCAAUCGAUUCAACAGAUAUCUUUCUAAAGAUAUCUGCUACACCAUCAUUUGCUGUCUCAUUAAUUUAACUAUUCUUAACCCCCUGGGAGGGGACACAUCUCCUUAUAUACUUCUCCUUAUGUAUUUUAGUUUACUGAAAUCUCCUUAUGGAUAUAUUAUUCAGUUCUCAAAGUGCAAUGCCAGAAACAGACCCACUCCUCCAGCUGCAGUUACAGCAGGGCAUGUGCAGUAGAACUAUGAUAUGCUGAUCUGAACGUUACAGAUCUUGUAAUGUGGCUGCUGACUGCACAUUUGCAAAACUUCUUAUCUCUGUUUCUAGUUUCAAUCUCCCUCAAUCUUUCACGACUGAUGUUGAGCCAUAGUAGAACCAACUGUUCAUUCUAGCCUCGACCUUUAAAGAAUGCUGAGUUGCUCAUGAAUUAUGUGUCCGUGUAAAGCUCAUGUAAGAUUUGGAGAGCAGUUUCCAAAUCUCUCAUUUACUCAGCCUAACUUGCAACUUACCUAUCAUCAUACUUGUUCUCAUCACCUUAGUAUGCUUUCCCCUGGAUUUUUGCACUGUUUCCAUAUCUACUUCAAGUCAUAUUUCUUUUGAUGGCCACUUUUCAAAUGAAUUGAAAAUAACUACCUUGUUACUUGUACUGACACUAUUAUCCAUAAUAGAUACUGAGCAUUAGAUACCUUUUUUUUUUUUUGAGAUGGAGUUUCACUCUUAUCACCAGGCUAGUGUGAAAUGGCACAAUCUCAGCUCACUGCAACCUCCACCUCCCAGGUUCAAACAAUUGCCAAGCCUCGGCCUCCCGAGUAGCUAGGAUUACAGAUAUGUGCCCUCACGCCCAGCUAAUUUUUGUAUUAUUAGCAGAGAUGGGGUUUUACCAUGUUGGCUAGACUGGUCUUGAACACCUGACCUCAGGUGGUCCACCUGCCUUGGCUUCACAAAGUGCUGGGAUUAGAGAAGUGAGCCACCGUGCCUUGCUUGCGUUACAUACUUUCUAUGUGCUGGAUCUUACCAUAGGUACUUUAAAUAAAUUAUCUGGAUUUGAAAGGAAAAUUUUUAUAAAAUAUGUUUAAUCAGAAUUGAGGUAAACACCAUACUUAACGUGUGAGCGUUCAAAGUCAUGUCGUUUUUGGCAAAUAUUUAUCUGUCUUUCAUUGUUCUCCAGGAUUCAGAACUCAUAAUUCUUCUUUAUCUUCUAAUUUAUAUUCCCUUUAAUAAGUUGCAGCCCUUUAAUCUGAAAUCUUGCUUUCAUUCUUUGCUUUCUUUGUAGGUAGAAUUUACAUAAUUUGAAUAUUUCAGGUCUAUUAAUGCUGAGCAUGACUGUGGCCGAACUCUAUGUGCCAGGGGGUUAAAAUUUCCUGCACCCGGUGGGAGUGUAAAUUAGUUCAACCAUUGUGGAAGACAGUGUGGCGAUUCCUCAAGGCCUUAGAAAUAGAAAUUCCAUUUGACCCAGCAAUCCCAUUACUGGGUAUAUAUCCAAAAGUCUGUAAAUCAUUCUACUAUAAGGGCACAUGUACACGAAUGUUCAUUGCAGCACUGUUUACAAUAGCAAAGACCUGGAAUCAACCCAAAUGCCCAUUGAUAAUAGACUGGAUUGGAAAAAUGUGGCACAUAUACACCAUGGAAUAUUAUGCAGCAAUCAGAAAUGAUGAGUUUGUGUCAUUUGUAGGGACAUGGAUGAAUCUGGAGAACAUCAUCCUCAGCAAACUGACACAAGAACAGAAAAUGAAACACCGCAUAUUCUCACUCAUAGAGGGAGAUGCAGACGCAUGAACGGGGAACAAUGAUAUGGCGAUGUCAGUGCAGUGAAAGAAGUGUUCUGGAGACAUCAGGAAACCAUACAACCCAGGGAGCAGACGAAUUUUCCUGUAGAAAGUAACAUCUCUGCUGGGAACAUUCAGACGAGGAAGAUGAGACGUGUUGCCUGGAGACAGAGCAGCCACCUAAGGACCACGGAAACAAAAAGUCAAAUGCCAAGGACGCUGCAAGAAGAAGGAAAGGGAAACCAAGUCCCUAAGACCUUAAUGGAACUACUGAUUUGUGUGACUAAAAUAAACCUUUAUUUAAGUCCUGGCGAGUGGUUCUUUUAACAAAGCAGUCAUAACCAAACCAGCAUCUUCUUUGCCACUUGACA